CACCAGUCGCAAGACUGGGGAAGACCUAGUGGCGAACGGGUGAGUAACACGUGAGGAACGUGCCCCGGAGACCGGGAUAACAGCGGGAAACCGCUGCUAAUACCGGAUACCUUCCUUUGAUCGCAUGAUCAGUUGAAGAAAUGGAUUCCGCUCCGGGAGCGCCUCGCGGUCUAUCAGCUUGUUGGUGGGGUAACGGCCUACCAAGGCGACGACGGAUAGCUGGUCUGAGAGGACGAUCAGCCACACUGGGACUGAGACACGGCCCAGACUCCUACGGGAGGCAGCAGUGGGGAAUCUUGCCCAAUGGGCGAAAGCCUGAGGCAGCAACGCCGCGUGUGGGAUGAAGGCCCUUGGGUUGUAAACCACUUUCAGCAGGGACGAAAAUGACGGUACCUGCAGAAGAAGCCCCGGCCAACUACGUGCCAGCAGCCGCGGUAAGACGUAGGGGGCAAGCGUUGUCCGGAUUUAUUGGGCGUAAAGAGCUCGUAGGCGGCUCAGAAAGUCGGGUGUGAAACCUCCAGGCUCAACCUGGAGACGCCACCUGAUACUGCUGUGGCUAGAGUCCGGUAGGGGAACACGGAAUUCCCGGUGUAGCGGUGAAAUGCUUAGAUAUCGGGAGGAACACCAG
RNAcentral lists this ribosomal RNA (628 nucleotides) under uncultured bacterium. RNAcentral describes it as "bacterial SSU rRNA". It matches the Rfam family "Bacterial small subunit ribosomal RNA", at positions 71 to 712 of the family's 1533-position model. The record is from RNAcentral.